Molecule: ribosomal RNA, 500 nt
Filed under: uncultured bacterium
Lineage: Bacteria
Description: partial 16S ribosomal RNA
Rfam family: Bacterial small subunit ribosomal RNA
Source: RNAcentral
GAUGAACGCUGGCGGCAUGCCUUACACAUGCAAGUCGAACGGCAGCACGGGAGCAAUCCUGGUGGCGAGUGGCGAACGGGUGAGUAAAGUAUCGGAACGUGCCCAGUCGUGGGGGAUAACGUAGCGAAAGUUACGCUAAUACCGCAUACGAUCUAUGGAUGAAAGCGGGGGAUCGCAAGACCUCGCGCGAUUGGAGCGGCCGAUAUCAGAUUAGGUAGUUGGUGGGGUAAAGGCUCACCAAGCCGACGAUCUGUAGCUGGUCUGAGAGGACGACCAGCCACACUGGGACUGAGACACGGCCCAGACUCCUACGGGAGGCAGCAGUGGGGAAUUUUGGACAAUGGGCGAAAGCCUGAUCCAGCCAUGCCGCGUGCAGGAUGAAGGCCUUCGGGUUGUAAACUGCUUUUGUACGGAACGAAAAGGUUUGGCCUAAUAAGCUGAGCUCAUGACGGUACCGUAAGAAUAAGCACCGGCUAACUACGUGCCAGCCGCCGCGGUAA